This 372-nucleotide ribosomal RNA is filed under the name uncultured Chloroflexota bacterium. RNAcentral describes it as "bacterial SSU rRNA". It matches the Rfam family "Bacterial small subunit ribosomal RNA", at positions 1034 to 1419 of the family's 1533-position model. The record is from RNAcentral. Lineage: Bacteria; Bacillati; Chloroflexota.
ACAGGCGUUGCAUGGUUGCCGUCAGCUCGUGCCUUGAGGUGUUCGGUUAAGUCCGUUAACGAGCGCAACCCUCGUCGUAUGUUGUAUUUUCAUGCGAGACUGCCCGUUACAAACGGGAGGAAGGUGAGGAUGACGUCAAAUCAGCAUGACCCUUAUGUCUGGGGCUACACCCGUAAUACAAUGGCUAGUACAAACUGAAACGAAACCGUAAGGUGGAGCGAAAACAGAAAAAACUAGUCUCAGUUCGGAUUGAAGUCUGCAACUCGACUUCAUGAAGUUGGAAUCGCUAGUAACCGUGUAUCAGUCAUGGCACGGUGAAUAUGUUCCUGGGUCUUGUACUCACCGCCCGUCAAGGCACGGGAGUUGGGGGCG